Molecule: long non-coding RNA, 911 nt
Organism: Pan troglodytes (chimpanzee)
Lineage: Eukaryota; Metazoa; Chordata; Mammalia; Primates; Hominidae
Exons: 2
Source: RefSeq, a predicted model, not a curated record
UAGCCAGAUUUUACAAAAGCCAUUCAAUUCUGAAGUAAAUGUUUAACUCUUCAGUUUCCUGCUAUCUGGUUUGUGGAUAGCCCAGACCUCAUGUUUUCCUUCAGCCUCUCCACCUUUAGCUCCUCCUACCACCCAGUGUGUCUUUGAGCAGGGGUUCCCAACCCCCGGGGCACGGAACAGUACCCGGUCCAUGGCCUGUUAGCAGCCAGGCCGCACAGCAGGAGGUGAGUGGCAGGCCAGCAAGCAUAACCGCCUGAGCUCCGCCUCCUGCGAGAUCCACAGCAGCAUGAGAUUCUCACAGGAGCUCAAACCCUGUUGUGAACUGCACAUGUGAGGGAUCUAGGCUCCUUAUGAGAAUCUAAUGCCUGAUGAUCUGUCACUGUCUCCCAUCACCCUCAGAUGGGACUGUCUAGUUGCAGGAAAACAAGCUCAGAGCUCCCACUGAUUCUACAUUAUGUCAUGGAGAUCUCAGUUGCGACCUCGCAUUGUCAGCCCCUGGUUACGGCGUGCUGAAAGCGGGCUUCAGCCAGACAUUGUCCUCAGCAGCUCUGAGUGCACUGUGUCUUUUGUCCUUAGGAUGCAAAGAAGAUGCCGCUCUCCAUGCUCUGCAGGUGAGGACCCCCAGGCUCAGAAUUUGACUUGAACUCAGGCUGUAAAAAUCGCCUAGACUCUGGACUGCUUCUCAUGCUGGUGACUGCAUCCGAGCUUUUCCAUCACUGCUCUGCGUUUUCUCUAAAAUCCAGUCCAUGUACUCAGCGACUUUGGUGUAGACACCAGGUUGCUCCCUGCGGGCACAGCCUUCACCCCAGCUGGUGAUGCCCACCAAACGCCACAUUCCGUUGUGUUUGCAAACUAAGGGACCACCUGAAUCUCCCUGAGCCACAGUGGAAAAAUAAAAUAGUAGAAAGUUA